GGGGCCGGGCCUGGGCCUCCGGGGACAGCGCCCCCUGUGGUGGGCGCGGGGCGGCCUCCCUCGGAGCGGGGCCGCGACCGAGGACGCCCGAUUCGUGGACCUCGCAGAAAACAGGAAGGUCCAGAGGGUGGUGGAUCUUCAAACGUUGUGGCAGUGGACGGAGGACCCAAGAACCCUGUGAAAUCCGGGCUGGCGAAGGAUCCUGUGUCUGCAGCAUGCAAGUAGGAUCCCCAGCCCCCCACCCCCAGCCUUCCUUGACCAAAGGGGUCCAGCGCUCCUGCUUCGGAUCUGAAGAUUUUCCAGGCAGAUGAGGUUUACCUCUUGGUUAGGCAAAUGACAAGCAGUCUCACCUUGCGGAUCAAGGAAUGGGCCACAAGAUAAACGGAGACAAACCAGACAGAGGGGACCAGAGAGCCAGUGGACAAUACAGGAGAUAACUUUAUUGAAACGCAAAUGGCAUCGAACAGAUGAAUCUUGCCGGGAGGAGACAUGCCUGAUGGAACAGAGGGCCCAGAUAAGAGGGGCCUCUGGCAGUGAUGGAGGAAGGCCUCUUCAGCUGGCCUGCCAUGGACUUCAUUGUCAACCAAUUUUUGCUUAAAACGAAUUACUGAGGGGACAACUCAACUCUCUUCAUGAUUGUUACCGCAACUAUAUACAAUGGUUUGCUUUCCAGAUUCAAAUUUGCUUUCUCUACAUUAGAUAUAAAAGGGGGUAGAUUGAAAGAGGGGGAGGGUCCAAUGAGGGAAAAAAAAAAAAACACAGACACACAC
RNAcentral lists this long non-coding RNA (770 nucleotides) under Canis lupus dingo (dingo). RNAcentral's name for it is "lncRNA (ENSCAFG00020017153.1)". The record is from RNAcentral. Lineage: Eukaryota; Metazoa; Chordata; Mammalia; Carnivora; Canidae.